Molecule: long non-coding RNA, 601 nt
Filed under: Mus spicilegus (steppe mouse)
Lineage: Eukaryota; Metazoa; Chordata; Mammalia; Rodentia; Muridae
Description: lncRNA (ENSMSIG00000010571.1)
Source: RNAcentral
GUAAUAUCAGGCAUCCUGGCGAGGAAAUUAUAUCCAGAAAUACAUUUGUUCGUGUUUUCUUUGGUGUGUGAGAGUGGCAGGAAUGGAACAGGAGCCUAGCACAAGUACUGAAGAUGCUGUAGUUCUAAACUCUAUGCCCACACUUUUCCUUAUUAUCAUUUCUUUUUCAGUGAAUGUCUUACUUGGAUACCCAGGAUGCUGUUGAACUGGCCCUGCAGCCCAAGCAGGCUUGAAACAUAGUUUGUGAACACAAGCCUCAUAGACAGCUGAGUUGAUGAAGUUGCCUUGCAAGUUGCUGCUUAUGCUUUCUGGCAGAGACAGGUCAAGACUUCAAGGUGUCUCAAAGAGAUCUUCAAGAACACAAUUUUCCAUAUCUGGGAAAGUUCCAGAAUGAUUCUGACUCAGGAUGCAGGAUGUCUGAUCAUCUUCUCCACAGCUACAGAGAUAGUACAAACCAGUUUCCUCGUUAUUACUGAUGGAACAAGGUAUCACAAUGAUACAUCUACACCAUGGAAUACUAUUCAGCUAUUAAAAACCAAGACAUCAUGCAGGCAAAUGAAUGGAACUUGAGAGUAUCAUCCUAAAUAAGGUAACCCUGUCC